This 402-nucleotide ribosomal RNA is filed under the name uncultured prokaryote. Its description in RNAcentral is "bacterial SSU rRNA". It matches the Rfam family "Bacterial small subunit ribosomal RNA", at positions 355 to 774 of the family's 1533-position model. The record is from RNAcentral.
UGGGGAAUAUUAGUAAUGGGCGAAAGCCUGAACUAGCAACACCGCGUGUGCGAAGAAGGCCUUCGGGUUGUAAAGCACUUUUUGAGAGGAUGAGGAAGGACGGUACUCUCAGAAUAAGUCUCGGCUAACUACGUGCCAGCAGCCGCGGUAACACGUAGGAGGCAAACGUUAUCCGGAUUUACUGGGCGUAAAGCGCGUGUAGGUGGUUUGGUAAGUAGAGCGUGAAAGCUCCUGGCUCAACUGGGAGAGGUCGUUCUAAACUACAGAACUAGAGGAUGGUAGAGGGAGGUGGAAUUCCAGGUGUAGCGGUGGAAUGCGCAGAUAUCUGGAGGAACACCGGUGGCGAAGGCGGCCUCCUGGACCAUUCCUGACACUCAGACGCGAAAGCUAGGGUAGCAAACG